RNAcentral lists this ribosomal RNA (445 nucleotides) under uncultured bacterium. RNAcentral describes it as "partial 16S ribosomal RNA". It matches the Rfam family "Bacterial small subunit ribosomal RNA", at positions 354 to 796 of the family's 1533-position model. The record is from RNAcentral.
GUGAGGAAUAUUGGACAAUGGAUGGAAAUCUGAUCCAGCCAUGUCGCGUGCAGGAAGACGGCCCUAUGGGUUGUAAACUGCUUUUGUAUGGGAGCAAUAAUGGCUACGUGUAGUCCGAUGAGAGUACCAUACGAAUAAGGACCGGCUAACUCCGUGCCAGCAGCCGCGGUAAUACGGAGGGUCCGAGCGUUAUCUGGAUUUAUUGGGUUUAAAGGGUGCGUAGGCGGUUUUAUAAGUCAGCGGUGAAAGUUUCCGGCUCAACCGGGAUACUGCCGUUGUUACUGUAAGGCUAGGAUAGGGUUGCUGUGGGUGGAAUGUGUGGUGUAGCGGUGAAAUGCUUAGAGAUCACACAGAAUAUCGAUUGCGAAGGCAGCUCACAAAGCCAUUAUUGACGCUGAGGCACGAAAGUGUGGGGAUCAAACAGGAUUAGAAACCCCGGUAGUCC